UUCCCUCUGGGAGAGGAGGAAAGUGGAAAUCCAGCCUCCUGGAGCCCCUCACCAGCCCUCAGCUCCUGGCCGACAGCACGGAGGCUGCUCUGUGCCACCCGUCAAGGUGAGUUUUCACCAAGCAUUUUUCUUGUUCGCACUUGAGAGCUGUUCCUGUAGUACUUCCUAGCUCUUUUAAAGUUCAUUUGGGUUUUCUUUUUUUUUCUUCCUCCUCUUGGCGUAUUGCAGUUGUCAACUUUCCCCGUGGCUUUUGCCAAGUAGGGAUUAUUGGCACAAACACAGUGCGUGUUUGCUUCUCAGGACAUGACUUGUUUUAAGUCUCUUGUUCAGUGACUGCCUGAGCUCUUACGUCCCUGUCCCAUUUCCCUAGGUUAGCAGGCUCUUCUCCAUCAGCUCCAGUGUCCGGACUAAGGGGAAAGAGCUUAGACGAGCCACUCUCUAGCAAAACGUCACUUAAAGCUGUUGCUGUUCCAGACGUAGUAAUUGCAUCCACGUGGGCUGUGUGCCAUUCAGUGUCUGCUCUGGUCUCUGUCAUGACAACGAGUGCCUGGAGAUUUGCAAACACAGAAAGUCACAAAAAGCGAUUAUGGCUGCACUACCGAGCCAAAACUCUUGACUGCCUUCUCCAUCCAAGUUCUGCACCCGUGGCUGCUGACAGCACAAAGCUGUAGCAUUCAGCAAUUUUGCUCACCUCUCCCUUUGAAAAUGCAGCUUCACUUGCCUUCCAACUCACCUUUCCAAAGCUUUCUGAAGGCCUUGGCAUCGGGACUACCCCUGGCAAGUGUCACCAGGCUGGCUACGUAGGCUUGCAGACUGGGGUAGGCACCGACAGCAGAACUGCACACCAUGGUGUAGCACCGCCAUGCGGCCCCGCUACCUAACAUGAAUCCCAGCUGCCUAGGCUGGUGCAGGCCUGAGUAGGUCACAGCUGCCUCCCAGCUCCUCCCUGUGCCACUGGAGAGCAGGGUUUUGGUCAGAUUUCAUGUGUUUCCACUGACAGACAGAAACCUAAGUGUUGUUGCCCUUUCAGCUGCUUGCACCGAUGUGUAACGAACCUGUAGACGUGUGUACAAGCAGCAGCGCUUUGAAACCGUGACUUAACUGGGUGCCUGUGAGGAUAGGCUGACUGCGUGCAGCUGACAGCUGCCUAUCCCCGUUAGUGCUUGGACAACUUCUCCAAGACCGCGGCCCGCGGCUGUGGCUGUUUCCUCCAACUGCAGCCAGCCCUGGGCAGUGAGCCCUGCCGGUAGGUGUGCGGCAGCAUGAGCCUCUCGCAGCAAGGAACUUGCCUGCGCAUUUAUGAACCCUGCACGUGGUGUUUGUUGUGAGCCUUUCGUCAAAUCAUUCAGCUGACAAUGAAGAGAACUGACCUGACGGUGGCAAGAGCCGUUCAGUCUGGUGCUGUGGGUUUUGCAGCAGGUACAUACAUUUCUGUGGCUUCUCUGAGUCUCUGCAUCACUGCCAUACAGCUGGGGAAAUGCUGCCCAGGCAGAGGUUCCUGGAGCUCCUCCAUCAGUGACAUACAGAAUCAUAUUUAUAUGAUCUGAAGAGAAACCAAAGUAUUUCAUGGACUGGAAAAGCUCAGCUACUUUUGGAGAAUAUUAAUCUUUAUCAGUAGUAAGGAAAUAAUUCCCAAUUGUGAGGCCUAUGAGUGCUGCCAGUAUAGUAUUCAAUCAACAUUCAGAAAACAUUCUGUCUUGCCUCUGAAGUCCCUGCAGUCUUUGGCAAAUUACAUGUCAUGUGCCUCAAGCGUGCUCCUGCUUCCUCCACUACAAAUGAACAAGUAAGGCCAGAGAGACUUAUCUGUGUCCUAUCUAGUUACAGCAUAAAAAUGAGUAUUUUUUCCUCCUGCAACUUCGCCUCUAGUGUUCUAGGUCUUUUGCAGGAGCAAAAUUGUUUUCUGUUUAUUGGUGAAUACACUUUAGUGUUUGGCUAGGGGCUUUCGGCUUUUGACCUCUCUUCUAGAAGCUGCUGCUGGAAAAGACACUCUCUAUCAUAAUUUGCCACCAGCUAAUAGAUUUUACUAGAACUACUUUUUACUUUAAAAAAAAAAAAUCACUCGACUGAUUGUGGGAAGCACAUGAUGGCCUCCAGCUUGCUUUUGUGAAUCUGCGUAACUUGCCUUGGAAGAAGUUCUGGACAGCAGACACAUAACUGAUGCUCCUCGUGAUUUACUGUGAUAAUCGAGAACUUAAAACAGAAGCCCGGCCCUGAACCUUUUCACUACAAGGAAAACAGGACCUUUGCACUGUCGGCUGAGCUCAGAGCCUCCAUCCGUGGCUCAGCCUCUUCUCAGGUGCAAAGAGCCCCAAAGUCCACGGAAAUCAAAGUCAUGCUGAUGGCAGAGCGUUUUUCACUGAAGUAGGCGGAGACCAAGUGCUUCACUAUGACACGAGAUUUCUCGUGUUGACCUCCUCGUAAAAAAAAAAAGAGAAGGCACCCAACUGGUGGAAACAAGACUCUAAAUGCCAGGAUCACCAACAACAUGCCAGCCAUGGCUCAAAGUACAAUCCGUGAUGGCUGUUCUGGAAAUGAAGUGAGGAGACACAACAAGCCAGCAGCCGUUCUCGACUGCGUGAGUGUUGUAAUCGCAUUGCUGCUCCCUGAGCUCAGCUGACACCAGGUACAGGUAAACAUCCCUCGCUGCCUGGAUGGGUGACAGUACAUAAAUCUUGGGAGCACUCUAGGGAAUAACAAGUCUUUUGCAACUUUGCCUUUGAACUCCGAAGGAGUUGUGUGUGCUUGGUUGAUAGACGGCGGCGCGGCGUGGCCCGGCCGUGCGUGAUGGGGCAGCGCGGCUCCCAAGGCCUACCAGAGGCCUCGUCCUCACCCGGAGGAGGGGACAGCCGAGCCGCACACAGGUCUUGACACCCACAGCUGUAGAAGCUGCCACCUCCUUUCCGAACGUGAUACCGCCUGCACGGAGCUGGCCUGCAGUGUUUUCUGAAGCUUGGUGCUGGGCCAAAAGCCAUUCUGCAGUGCCUGCCCAUGCCAUAUAGGUGUGUAAUAUUAACUUACCUGGUUUCUGCUGCAGGCUCCUCCACAGCUGCUAACGUAUCUCCACGUGUUAUCAGUACGUCUCUUCUACAGACUUCCUCAGACUGGGUUUAAGGGACAACGUGUUCCUGUUCGGGAGAAGCAAGGGGAUGUCCUGCCCUGCUUGUGCUGAAUCACUCUUACCUGGCAAGGGCUGGCGGAAUGGCGAGGCCAUAUUUUAUUGUAGUGUACUACAGCUGCAGAAAAAGUAUUGGAUUUGGGGUUUAUAUCAGACAACUAGUUCCUGGUCAGGUUGAUGAAGUCUUUAGGUGGAAGACUUUGCCUUCAUAUCUCUUUGUAAAACAAACGCUCUCUGAGUAGUGGUAAAAGGACAAAUGUGCUCAGUUGUGACGCUUUAAAUCAUACAAACCAUUACCAAAGACAAAUGACAAGAUCACAGGAGGUUACUCUGGUGCAGGGCUCCUUCCUGGAGCAAACACCACGAGACACAAUCAACAUUCACACGGCGUUCAGCCCACCACAAUGCAGCGCCUCCAGCUGGGUCUUUGGAGGCGCGCUAGUAGGAAUAUUAAAUCCCACUGAACACCUUCUUAUGAUAUUCAUAAUUUAACAACAGCCAUGCACAUGUGUGACCAAUACUGUGGACUGUGACUGUGGGGAACCAGAUCCAACCCCCCCAAUGAUGCUGAGGGCUGUGCCACGACCCCUGCUCAGCCCCUGCUCCUCUUACCAUGGUUGCACCGUGGUGGCUGGAGCCCUCUUAGGUGCUGUCAAUAUUCAUCAGAAGCAACUUCUUAGAAGGAGCGAUGUGGGAAUAAGUGUGUUACUGUGUGAGCUGUCAGCAGAUGUGCAAAGGACUUUUUGUAUUGAAAAGGUGAAAAGAAAAAAAAAAGCAUUAAAAAUAUCAUUGCCAUGUUGCCCUCUGGGUUUACGCAAAUGUGGCACAGAGAAGAAUUAGGCUUUUGCAGUUUCAUGUUUCCUUGACCUUUUGAGAGAGGAAUUAAAAAUCAGAUCCAACUUCUGCUCCCAGUUACAAUGCUGAAAGUCCAGAGCAAAUAUAAUAUACUGGCUCCUGAGGUGUGGGAGCAGAAUUUCGUCUUGCCUAUUGAAAAAAGCUGAAAGAGAGAUGAGAUAUGAAGAGGUCUGAAUAAAGGCUGGAUCAUCUGAGCGCUAAACCUCUCUCCCAGGUGGGUGCAAUUACUGUGGGUGCAAUUGCUGGUGUGUAAGCAGAUUCCUUCACCUGCACUGGUGGGGGUUCUGACUUGGGAUCAGUGCAAUGUAAGGAGAAAAUACAUGUCUCCUCCAGCAUGAUGUCUGCUCAGUGUGCUGAGGAGCGUGCCGUGGGAAGAAGCUCGCAGCCAGCAGCAUCCCUGCUGUGACGCAGCUGCUGGAGCCCGGUGGUGGUGGCCGUGCCUGCUGCAGCAGCAGCAGUGGGGCAGACAGAGAAGCUGUGCCAGCACCCGUGUCGCUUGACACUUAGAAAGCCCUCGACCAUUAACGCUAAGCUCAUGCGUGCUGCUUGACAUGAAAACAUUUCCAGUUAAAGAUAAUUUCAGACUGUCGUUAUAUUGACUUACGCGAAUGUUGACAAACAAAAUCUGAUUGGAUUACGCUCUAAUGACAAGCUAUGCGUGCUUCAACAGGUUUUCUUUGUUUUGGCUUGGCUUCUUGAAUUUAUUUUCAGCCGUCCACUGCUAAGAUAUGUUUUUGUUCCGAGAGGACAAAUGCAGUGGGGGGCUGCUUCCUACCUGGAAUCUCGACAUUGCCUGGGAGAAGCUGGCUGCCAUGAAUCAUCACGGUGAUGCUGUACAGCACACACACAGCUUUUUUUUUUUUUUCCCCUUUUGGAGACAAGCACGUGGCUAUUAAACAAAGGACAAGAAGUGAGGGGAGUACACUGCAAUUUGCUAAUGUGUGGCUGGGUUCCCAGUUCCCUGUGCAUUCUUGCAGCCAGACUGCAGUCGUCAUGAUGCUAUUGCCAGGAAAGAUGUAAACAAAAGGAAACUCUCUCUGUCAGUUGAAACAUUAGGUUAAUCGUGCAAAAUAAUAUUUUGUAGUCAUUCAGGUCGAGCCAUACGCUACCUAGUUAUCAAAUAUGCUAUUCGUUCUAUACAGAUACACAGCUUCAUUGGCAUAAAGCACCAGUUUUUACAUGUCUUUAAAUCACAGCAGUAUUUACUAUGUGGUGAGUCAGGGCACUGAGCAAGGCCAUCGGACCCUGUCAUGCAGGACUGUGACUUAAAAUUCAGGUGCUUUAGGCAUGGCUCUUUUGGGAUCACUUGGAGAUUGGCAAACAGACGUUUUUCUGUUGAAGUAGUUAAACGAUCACCUUUAUGCCUCAGCCAAAUUUCACAACUGGAAAUUAUUCUGGGGUGAAGUCUCUUUUUUUCCCUAACACUGCAAUCACAGCUGCGAAACUUCACUUAAAAUCAAAGGCCGGUGUUUAUUCUGGAUUAAAACAGCUGCUAGCGAGAUGGGAACAAGACUCAAACUCUUCUUUCCCACCAUGAGGGCUUACCCAAGAGCAGUGACAGCCAUGUACCAACCUGGAACUUUUAACUUACAUUAUUUCUGUUAAACCUGCGCCAUGUCCUUGUCUAGUCGGCAUCUUUUCAGCUGUGUGUGAUGAAGACCUGCCCCGUGCAAGCCCUGGUGUUGUCCACGGACUUGCAUCUCCUGUGUCUUCAGCUGGGGUUUAGGGAGCUGCUCGAAGGCAUGAUGCUGCCCUGACACAUUUGAGGCUUGCAAAUGGCGUGGUGUAAGUAGUAGUCGUGGUGGUACUGAUGCCCUGGGAAGGGAUGUCAGAUACUCAGAAACCAUUUAACGAAAUGUUGCUCCAUGAUGGGAAGGAAUUUUCACCUUUAGCUGUUGCUACAGACUGUGACAGCAAACGCUUUUGCCACAGAUUAAAUUAUUGCAGCUUUAAUGCUGGUGUCCACCCUCUUCUGCCCCAUCCUUCUCCUUCUUUCCACUUUCUCCUUCCCUAGGGCCAAUGGUGGGACUCCCUGCUGCAGCUCUCAGUGCUGCAGCCUGUGCUCUCAGUGCUUGUUUUGCCCCAGUAGCAAGGCUGAAUGCCGUGGCAGUUUUGCUGCAUCAUCUGUGAACUGCCUGGACAGUGUCAAUCUUUUACCUUUCACUGUCAGUGACUGUGCAGAGAGACGAGGAAUGACACACACUUAGGUGCAUCGGAUGUCUCCAUCUCCCCUUAGGCCUAGGGUAGAUGUGAUUUGCCAGCGCUAGCUACAAAUUGAAGAAGUCUCAGUAUUUUAUUUUUUUUCCAUGUGAUAGGAAAGUUUUCUUCCUAAGACUAGGAAAACAACUGGAGCACCUUGAGUUAUUACCAUGAACACUUAUUUCACCACCUUCCCCCACUGAAAAAAAAAAAAAAAAAGAAAAAAGAACAUGCUAGAGGAUGACAAAUAGCACAGCCCAAUUCAUGCAAUGCAUUAACAUCUCACUGCUACACACUUUCUGGAGCAUAUACAACAAAAGAAGGAAUGAUUACAGUUCUGGUUCAAGGACCACAGCAAUCCAGCGCUGAACACGCACUUGUGAAGCAAUUCCAGAUUGCAAUUCUGAGCACCGAUAGCCAGUACAAUAGGAAAAAUAAGCCACGCUGUAUUAAGGACAUGCCUUUGAUAAUUCUCUCUUUAUAGCUAAAAGCCAGGGAUAGCUGGUAGGCUUGGCAUCCCGCUGGGGAAAUGGGACAGUUGCACAGGAAGGGGUUGCCUUUUGCCAUUUCACAUCUACGCUCCCAAUUUCCAGCCUCCAGCCUGAACCCUGUGCCUCAGCACGCAGCUGUUUGCACAAGUGACUUAUCGUGCCUCCAUGAGAUACCUGGCCCACAGAAAACAUCCUUCUCACUGCUGUACUGCUUUAACUCCUCGCAAGGCCCAUCCCCUUCUGCGAACCUUUGACAGCUUUAAAAUGUCGCAGAGCAGCAGCUUCCUGGGGACGCUCUGGGGCUGGGCAUCCUCUGGAUUCUCCGGCGGCGCUGAAGCACUCCAGCAUUUCUCUUCUUUGAAUAGAGCUGGCAAAAUCCAUAAUUGCUUCCAUUCUGCUUGGCUGGGAAAGAGAAAAAACCAGGCACCCCACCACGGGGACUGCUCAACGCAGACAGAUACGAUGGAGGCCCCUGCACCAGGGCUCACCCACCAGAGGUGAUGGCCAUCCUCAGGCUGGUUGUUUGUUUGUAAGUUUGGUUCUUUUCUGUCUGUAUUUUCUCUCUAUUUUUUUUUCCCCUUUCAUGUUUUUUUUCUUCCCCUGGGUGGAGCAGCACCGGUGAGGUGAUGACUUACCUGCCACAGCUUGGGAGAUAGCGAUCUUGAAGACAACGUUCACACAAUGCCCCAGUAGAGCUUUUCUGGCUCUGAUUUCUAUGAUUAUGUUGUUACCGGAUCAGUGAAGAGAACCAUGAAAAACACAAUUACCAGGAAGCCCUGCUCCUUUCCUUGUCUCUUUGUCUUGCUGCAGAUUGGGCAUGUGACUCACAGAGAAAUAGAAGACUGGCUGUAUUCGUUUGUAUGACCCAAAAGGGUGCUGCCUGCUGAUCAGACCCAAGCGUGGGAAAGCCUGGCCGCUGGCUGAAAAGGCCGGUCACGUCAUGUUUUGCAGCUGGCAUUCAAACGCAUCCUGGUGAAUCAGGCGAUAGCAGCUACCUUUCCUGCUACGACGGCAGCUGAGCAGGAGCAGAGGCGCUGCGAAAACCUCCCUCCUGCAUCAACAGCACGGGGAAGGGAGGAAUGAAGGUUGUGAAUGAGCUUGGUGUGGCAGGACGGCAAUUUUUGGGGGCCUUUGGCGUGGCACCAGACUAAAGGGAAAGGGGACAGGCAGGCUUUGACUGUGGGUGUUGGUGGCAGUCUUGCUCAGUGCAAACCCACCUGCGCAUCACGGGCUGCUCGGGCAGACCGUGGCUGUCCCCUUCUGAUGCACAGUGGGGAAGGAGAACCUCGUGGGCUGACUGCCACUCCAAGUAUUAUGAAUUGCUAUCAAAAAAUAUUGUCUGUCUCCAAGUUAGCACAGACUCAGCAGAUUCGAUGGGCGAGCAUGCUCCAAAGGGAUGGUUAAAAUGUGUUAUUUGCCUAUUGCGUGCUGCAAAAAUAAAUAUCCAAAGCAUGAGAGAACAAACUUUGGCAGACAAAGCGUCAACAAGCUGUGUUUGUGGGGGAAGGCUCAUAAUUUGGAGGGAACGUUGAGCUGGAAGGGAACACUGAGUAUAAAUAAGGAUAAAGUUUACCUUAAGCAGGCAUGAAAGGCAGGGCUAUGAGCCACAGCUUGGACUUUGCCAUUCUUCCAGUGAGACAACAGUCUGUAACAGGUCUGCUAUCUCGUGCUCUCUGAUGUGGCCUCACUGCAGAAAGAUACCAGCCACUGCAGGAAGGUUUUUAAAUAAUAAGGCUUUUUUUUUUGGGGGGUGGGGGGGAGGGUGCACCCCUAGUUUAUCAGUUUAUGAGUGACCAGGGAGACUGUGAAUUCCCGCAGAUGAAAGGAAAUCCCACUGUCAGAUCUUAGUAGUAAAACGUGGUAAAACUUUUAGCUGAAGUUUUGCUGCCUCUAGAUCACGAAUCUUUUUGAUCUCCCUGGGUCUCAAGAGUGGACAAAUGGUACAUGGUGCAUCGCUGGCAUGCUAUUCAUAUGGUUGUGAGGCUUAUAGACUGAAAUAUGUUAAAAUGCCAGCAUUUGCUGGUACAGCCGAGGGCAGUAACAUCAUCUGGAAACACUGCUACAGGAUUUGGUGAUUGUUGUUAUUACACGGACUGGGAAAAACCCAGCCAGAAGGCAAGGUGAAAGGAAGCCCAGCCACUUCUGCUCAGCACCCCAGAGAUAUUUCGGCCAUCCCUGGAGAUGAGCAUGGCGCUGAGGGAGUUCGUGUGGCGAAACACAGAGCGGCGCAGAGCUGCUCCAGGCCUCGUUGGCCACUUCCCGCCCAACCUCUGCCAACCCCAGCGAGGUGUGGACAGCCCCCAUGCAGAAGUGUCUUCGGAGGUUUUCCUGAGGAUCAGGGGUGGGAUGAUGGCGAUUUUUGGCCUGUGAGGAGCCCUGUGCUGAGGGCACUGCCAGGGCUGGCAGCACGGCUCUGCGCCCGAGACCUGGCAGGAUUGGUCUUGGGCUAUGAGCACUAAGAGAAAAACAGGCCGCUGGCUGGGCCUUUAUCCUCGGCCACCUCAAGUGAAGCCUUUUGGCGGUUCCGGGAGAGUGAAUUUGUAUUGAAAACCCACAGCUCUUACAAGUAGUGCAUUAAUUAUUUUAUUAAUUUGCUCUUUUUACAUUAUGGGAAACAUUCAUCUAUUUACAUUUUCCUGUCCACACACAAACUAGAUAGAUAAUCCUAUGAAAACCCAAAUCAUUAAGCCAUAAAAACACUCUCCUCUGUCUAAAGGCUUUCAAAUUUGUGUCUUUUGUUUCAAAUCAAAAACAUUUUUAAAAUCACGUUUGGGAAUGCAGGUAGGCCAGUGAUUUACAUUCCAGUUACUUAAAAUAUGCAUUUGACCUUUUUCCUUUAAAAAAGAAAAAAAAAAAGGAAAAAAAAAGAAACAACCAGAAAAACC
Long non-coding RNA from Cygnus olor (mute swan), 9545 nucleotides. RefSeq lists it as uncharacterized. NCBI's taxonomy places the organism in Eukaryota, Metazoa, Chordata, Aves, Anseriformes, Anatidae. The record is from RefSeq and is a predicted model, not a curated record. The transcript has 3 exons.